RNAcentral lists this long non-coding RNA (511 nucleotides) under Prunus persica (peach). RNAcentral's name for it is "long non-coding RNA (PPER_LNC006933)". Lineage: Eukaryota; Viridiplantae; Streptophyta; Magnoliopsida; Rosales; Rosaceae. The record is from RNAcentral.
CAAAUAUUGUUGAAGUGUGAGAAAAAUUAUCGACAUCGAUAUUUUCCGAUAUUAUCGAUACUUAUACGAUAUGUGUAUAGAUAUGUUCCAAAAUAUCCUAAACCCAAAAAAAUGAUAAUAUCUUCAAUAUUUCGUUGAUAUUAUUAAUAUUUUAGCCCUUGAUUGAGAUUUUAAAAGAUUUAAAAGAAGUUAAUUCGGGUAUUGAAUCACGAUUUAAUAAAAAAAUUAUGAGUAUACUCAAUCUAUAAAGUUCAUUCAAAUUUGGACAUAUUAAAUCAUUACUUUAAAAGACUCCAUAAAGGUUUCGAUUUUUAUUUAGGCUUAUUUACUGUAGUGCCCCCCUGAAGUUAUGGUCAAAUAUCACUUUACCAUCUGAAAGUUAAAGUGCCCAAUUUACCCCCUUGAUUGAUGUUUUGCAUCUCAGUUUACACCACAUCGUCAAGUCAGUCAAAAACUCUGUUAAAAAUGUUGACAUGGCACAUAUGGGACUCACAAAUUUGUUGAAUUGGAU